Molecule: ribosomal RNA, 433 nt
Filed under: uncultured bacterium
Lineage: Bacteria
Description: partial 16S ribosomal RNA
Rfam family: Bacterial small subunit ribosomal RNA
Source: RNAcentral
AACGAACGCUGGCGGCAUGCCUAACACAUGCAAGUCGAACGAGACCUUCGGGUCUAGUGGCGCAUGGGUGCGUAACGCGUGGGAACCUGCCCUUAGGUUCGGAAUAACUCCCCGAAGGGGGUGCUAAUACCGGAUAAUGUCUUCGGACCAAAGAUUUAUCGCCUUUGGAUGGGCCCGCGUUGGAUUAGCUAGUUGGUAGGGUAAAAGCCUACCAAGGCGACGAUCCAUAGCUGGUCUGAGAGGAUGAUCAGCCACACUGGGACUGAGACACGGCCCAGACUCCUACGGGAGGCAGCAGUGGGGAAUAUUGGACAAUGGGCGAAAGCCUGAUCCAGCAAUGCCGCGUGAGUGAUGAAGUCCUUAGGGUUGUAAAGCUCUUUUACCCGGGAUGAUAAUGACAGUACCGGGAGAAUAAGCUCCGGCUAACUCCGUG